Molecule: non-coding RNA, 79 nt
Organism: Schistosoma haematobium
Lineage: Eukaryota; Metazoa; Platyhelminthes; Trematoda; Strigeidida; Schistosomatidae
Source: Rfam
AGCCUUCUCUAUCCGUGCUGAGAUUUCGUCACACGCCAGACCAUAAGGGCUGAUGAGACUCCCAAGAAGUGAAUAAACA